Molecule: microRNA precursor, 69 nt
Filed under: Bombyx mori (domestic silkworm)
Lineage: Eukaryota; Metazoa; Arthropoda; Insecta; Lepidoptera; Bombycidae
Description: mir-2774 microRNA precursor family
Rfam family: mir-2774 microRNA precursor family
Source: Rfam by way of RNAcentral
ACAACGUUCAGAGCGUCGGUCUACCACCCGCAAUAUCAACCGCUCAGUGGAAGAUCUUCCUUUCGUCGU